GACGACCGCUGGCGGCGUGCUUAACACAUGCAAGUCGAACGGAAAGGCCCUGCUUUUGUGGGGUGCUCGAGUGGCGAACGGGUGAGUAACCCGUGAGUAACCUGCCCUUGCCUUUGGGAUAACUUCAGGAAACUGGGGCUAAUACCGGAUAGGAGCUCCUGCUGCAUGGUGGGGGUUGGAAAGUUUCGGCGGUUGGGGAUGGACUCGCGGCUUAUCAGCUUGUUGGUGGGGUAGUGGCUUACCAAGGCUUUGACGGGUAGCCGGCCUGAGAGGGUGACCGGCCACAUUGGGACUGAGAUACGGCCCAGACUCCUACGGGAGGCAGCAGUGGGGAAUAUUGCACAAUGGGCGGAAGCCUGAUGCAGCAACGCCGCGUGCGGGAUGACGGCCUUCGGGUUGUAAACCGCUUUCGCCUGUGACGAAGCGUGAGUGACGGUAAUGGGUAAAGAAGCACCGGCUAACUACGUG
This 468-nucleotide ribosomal RNA is filed under the name uncultured bacterium. RNAcentral's name for it is "partial 16S ribosomal RNA". It matches the Rfam family "Bacterial small subunit ribosomal RNA", at positions 28 to 507 of the family's 1533-position model. The record is from RNAcentral.